This 253-nucleotide ribosomal RNA is filed under the name uncultured bacterium. Its description in RNAcentral is "partial 16S ribosomal RNA". It matches the Rfam family "Bacterial small subunit ribosomal RNA", at positions 524 to 776 of the family's 1533-position model. The record is from RNAcentral.
GACAGAGGUCUCAAGCGUUAGGCGGAAUCACUGGGCUUAAAGCGUGUGUAGGCGGAUUCCUAAGUACCUUGUGAAAUCCCCGGGCUUAACCCGGGAACUGCUUGGUAUACUGGGUGUCUUGAGCCAACUAGGGGCGACCGGAACAAACGGUGGAGCGGUGAAAUGCGUAGAUAUCGUUUGGAACGCCAAUGGUGAAAACAGGUCGCUGGGGUUGUGCUGACGCUGAGACACGAAAGCCAGGGGAGCGAACGGG